UUAUAUAUGAGGGGGAAUCCCAAUAUAGUACAAGUGAAUUUAUUACAAAAAUAUGGGAUGUGACAACUAGUUGACGCCUAUGAUUCGGGCUCAGGCUCUAGCUUCACGUCUUGGGAACUCCCCACUUUCAUUCCGUAAUCACCAGUCUCAUAUUGCUUCGAGGUCGAUCAUCGAUGGCCCUCGAGGGAUGAAACCGAUCACGGUCUCGAGCCUCCGAGGCGUGCCUUCAAGGUGUCGUAACUAAAAAAAUUGGACCCUUCAAUUUUACCGUAUACAUAAUUCUUUAUCACCUAAUGAUUCUUAAAAGGAAGUUGAAUAAGUAAGAUGCACUUGAUAAAUUCGCACUUCAAUUCAUGACCUUGAAGAGAGUUUGAUUUUUGUAAAUUUAAGGGAUCAAGCAAACGAACAUUUUAAGGGCCUAGACCUACACCAAAAUGUGUUAGUAAUGUGUUGAAGUUCUAUACACAAUGAUGGUGUAAAUGCUCAAAAGUCAAAUCGGACCAUUUAUAAGACUGUUGCGAGUAAAACAUCAUGAUGAGGAUGGUUUUUUAAGUUUACAAGCUGGUUAAGUUGGCGUAUAAGUAUAUUUUGGUUUAUUUACGAGUUUGGUAACAUUAAACGUGCUUAUAAGUUAAGUGUUUAUAAGCCUAAAAUAAGCCAAAAGUCAUAAGUUGGUCUCUCCCAACUUAUCAAAUUUCAGAUUAUAAGCACUUUAAGUUUGACUUAAAUAUUUGCUAUUCUAUCCCUAAAAUACUUCUUUUUAGAAUAAAACUCUUUGUAUACCCAGCUCUUCAGCUGCUUAUUAUUAAUUUCAACACUUUUAUCCAAACACAUAACUGCUUUUUUUUAAAAUCAGAUUCAGCAUUAAAAGUACUUUUUACCUUAUCAACAACUCUAAAUUAGCUAAGUCAAACGGGUUCAAGGAGCAUCAUUAGUAACCUAGCUAAUAAAAAUUAUGACGGGCAUGUUUUAUUAGGUUUAGUUACACUAUAAAUCAUGUGAGUGUCUAUAACUUAAAUAGUGUUGCAAUGGAUCCUAUUGCGAUAUGUUCUCCUCGACAGCAAAAAUAGCUUAAUCUAUUACAUACUAUCCAGUAUCAAACGCGUGAUCCAACACAGUAAGAAUUUAGUCGUCUUUAUCAAGACUGCAAUUUGCACUAAACAAAAAAAUUAAACUAACACAUAAAGGAGGAGAAUAAAUUAGGAGCCGCCUAUAUAUUUUGAUCUUAUAAUAGAGGUAAAGAACAAAAUCACUAAUGCGUUAUUCAGAAAACAACCAGCGAAAAAGGCAAAAGGUCACUAAUUAUACUUUCUUUUCUCGGCCAAACUAGCCUGUUAG
RNAcentral lists this long non-coding RNA (1338 nucleotides) under Nicotiana benthamiana. RNAcentral's name for it is "long non-coding RNA (NBEN_LNC038338)". The record is from RNAcentral. Lineage: Eukaryota; Viridiplantae; Streptophyta; Magnoliopsida; Solanales; Solanaceae.